GCUAGGCGUCACUGGUGGAUUGUGGGAACCAAUAGAAAUAAUUAUUAACAAUUAAUUAUUCUAUUAGGGUAGAGUCAAAAGAGUUUGAGCCAUCGAAAGGAGUUUCGAUGAUGAUGUAGAUGGAGAUCUCAUCAUAUCUCACUACCAGACAGAAUUGAACCUAUUAGGUCACACACAUAAGAAAUCGCGCAUGAUCGAUAUUUAGGAGACGAUAAAAGAAGUUUAUCGGAUGGAUUAAUUAUAAUUAUAAUAUAGUUAAAUACUAAAGUUUACUAAUUUAUUAGUAAAAGGACUAAUUUGCAAUUGUUGUAAAUUAGAGGUAUUUAUGUGUAAAAGUUGCAUGGUGUAUUUACUAAUCGUUAGUAAAUAAUAUGAGGACUUAUGUGUAAAUGUUACACACGAAUCGAAUUAGAAUUAGGAUUCGGAAUUCGGUUAAUAUCAUAACAAACUUGCGGGUUGAUGGAUAAUCAAAUCGGAAUAGGAUUUCGAUUAGGAUUACGUUAGGGUUUUCUCAUUAUAAAUAUAUGUCAUAUGACAUAUUAAAAUUAAUGAAAAAUUAAGUAAAAAGGAAAAAGAAAACCCUAGCC
Molecule: long non-coding RNA, 587 nt
Filed under: Ananas comosus (pineapple)
Lineage: Eukaryota; Viridiplantae; Streptophyta; Magnoliopsida; Poales; Bromeliaceae
Description: long non-coding RNA (ACOM_LNC043175)
Source: RNAcentral